AAUAUUGCACAAUUGAGGGAACUCUGAUGCAGCGACGCCGCGUGAGCGAUGAAGGCCUUCGGUUCGUUAAGCUCUGUCCUAUGGGUCGAUAAUGACGGUAUCCUAGUAGGAAGCCUCGGCUAACUACGUGCCAUCAGCCGCGGGAAUACGUAGGGGGCUAGCGUUGUCCGGAAUUACUGGGCGUAAAGGGUACGCAGGCGGCCAUGUAAGUCAGAUGUGAAAGGUCAAGGCUCAACCGUGGUAAGCAUUUGAAACUGUGUGGCUUGAGUUAAGGAGAGGAAAGUGGAAUUCCUGGUGUAGCGGUGAAAUGCGUAGAUAUCAGGAGGAAUACCAGUGGCGAAGGCGACUUUCUGGACUUAAACUGACGCUGAGGUACGAAAGCGUGGGGAGCAAACA
RNAcentral lists this ribosomal RNA (396 nucleotides) under uncultured bacterium. RNAcentral describes it as "partial 16S ribosomal RNA". It matches the Rfam family "Bacterial small subunit ribosomal RNA", at positions 360 to 774 of the family's 1533-position model. The record is from RNAcentral.